UGGGGAAUAUUGCACAAUGGGCGCAAGCCUGAUGCAGCGACGCCGCGUGGGGGAUGACGGCCUUCGGGUUGUAAACUCCUUUCGCUAGGGACGAAGCUUUUUGUGACGGUACCUAGAUAAGAAGCACCGGCUAACUACGUGCCAGCAGCCGCGGUAAUACGUAGGGUGCGAGCGUUGUCCGGAAUUACUGGGCGAAAAGGGCUCGUAGGUGGUUUGUCGCGUCGUCUGUGAAAUUCCGGGGCUUAACUCCGGGCGUGCAGGCGAUACGGGAAUAACUUGAGUACUGUAGGGGUAACUGGAAUUCCUGGUGUAGCGGUGAAAUGCGCAGAUAUCAGGAGGAACACCGAUGGCGAAGGCAGGUUACUGGGCAGUUACUGACGCUGAGGAGCGAAAGCAUGGGUAGCGAACAGG
RNAcentral lists this ribosomal RNA (411 nucleotides) under Actinomycetes bacterium. Its description in RNAcentral is "Actinobacteria bacterium partial 16S ribosomal RNA". It matches the Rfam family "Bacterial small subunit ribosomal RNA", at positions 355 to 776 of the family's 1533-position model. Lineage: Bacteria; Bacillati; Actinomycetota; Actinomycetes. The record is from RNAcentral.